Molecule: long non-coding RNA, 1658 nt
Organism: Sparus aurata (gilthead seabream)
Lineage: Eukaryota; Metazoa; Chordata; Actinopteri; Spariformes; Sparidae
Source: Ensembl
GUGAAAAUAAAUGUGAGCAUCAGAACUGGUGCCCCUUCAGAGGGCCCGACCCGGAGGUUGGGAACCACUGGACUAACUAAACUAACUGUAUAUAAAGUAGUUCAGACGGAGUGAUGUAAUGUAACUAAGUACUUCCACUCCACUACAUUUAGGAGGCAGAUAUUGUACUUCUUACUCCACUGCAUGUAUUUGCUUUGCUGUUCACUUUAGUUACUAGUUACUUUACAGAUUACAAGUAUCACAUUUUGAAAUGAAUUGAUUUUCUCAUCAAUCAGAUAAAAACAGUGUUUGUGAUGAUCAGCUGACUCACAGUAUACAGUUUAUACACACAUGUAAAUAUAUAGAUCAGUUACUUUACUGAUACUUUGAUACCUCAGUACAUUUAAUAUCAGAUACUUUAAGACUUUUAUUUGACUUUUGGGUUCUUACAGCACCGUUCACCUGCAGCAGCUCUGAUGAUGAUAAUAAUAAUAUUAAUAAUAAUAUUAAUAAUGUCACACAGAAACAGAUAUCAGUCAGCAGGAACAAUUUUCUGUGGAACGAGUACUUUAACUUUUGAUCCUUUCAGUGUAUUUCAGUGAAAGUACUUAAUGACUUUGACUUAAAUGAACUCGAGGAGGUUUAAGUGGUUCUGAAGCUGUUUAAAUGUGAUACUGAUGCCUCUAUAUGAGCCACAUAAACAAGUGAGAGCAUCAGAUUGUGUUUGUGUAUAUUGAUGAUAUUCAGUGUUGAUGUUUGUCACCAGGUCACAUUCUGACUCAUCCAGGUUGAAUAAAUCAUAAAGAUAAAUAUAUGUUUUAUGUGACAGGGCCCACCAGGACCAGCUGGAUAUAAAGGUUCUUGUAGCCUCUUUAAAAGAGAUUUGAACUGCCAGUCUUUUACUUGUAAUGGAGUAUUUUGACAUUAUUGUCAGUGAAGUGAAAGAUGUGAGUCCUUGUUGAAGAACAUCAUAACUCAGGCUCAGUCGUUGUCGUUCUCCAUCCGUCCACCAGAUGUCCUCAGACUUUUCCACCUGUCCCCGUCCCCUGACUCCCACGUCCACCUGCAUCAGCCCCGCAGGAUCUACCUGCUCCAUUUACUCUUGAACAAAACUGACACAUAUAAGCAUCUCUCCAAUGUGAAGAACUGUCUGUAUUCUGUAUUACACAACAGUGAUGUCACCAUUUAUGUCCCAAAUAAUGGAAACAAAUAAACUAAUAAAUGGUUCAGUAGAUAAAUAAAAAUAUAAGAAUACAUGGAGGUGUUAAUUAAUUUUAAAAAUGUGACUAAUAUACUAGUUCCGUUCCGUUUUCUUUUCUGCUUUUUUCCGUGAGGGUUGCGGAGAUGUUUUAUCUCCCCUUUUUUCAGGGGAGGUUACUGGGGCCAAAUCCAGUGACUGUGGGCGAAGGCCAGGGCACACCCUGAACGAGUCGCCAGCUCAUUGCAGUGGCUGCCACACAGGUGCCAACUGCGCAUCAGGAGCAAUUUGGGGGUUCAGUAUCUUGCUCAAGGAUACUUCGGCAUGUAGCUCAGUUCCACCCCAGGGGAGCUGGGAUUCGAACCAGUGAUCUUCCCUAGUCCAGCAGCUCUACCCACUGAGCUACAGCCGCCCCAACUAAUAUACUAGUUAUAUUUCUCUUUAAAUUUGCUUCUGAAUAUGUUUAACUUUUUAAAAUUUC